GGGGCAAGCAGAGUGGUUGGUCCUGGAUGGCGGGUCCCAGGUGCCCAAUGUGGCUGGAGACAACAGGGUGUCAAAAAGAAAAAGUGCCCCUCUGCCCUCCAGGCUGUUCUAGGAGCCCCUUGUCUCUGGAGACACCCCGCCCACUCUGGCUCCUCCUCCUUCAAGACCUGCCCUUGUGCUGCCUGUCCCCAGAAGCUGCCAGGUCAUUGUGCCCUAGUAGGUUUUCUCAAAAAGGAGCCAUGUGCUGCCCCAUGGGGGUACCUGGUCACAGUAAAGGGAGUCCUGGCCACCUAGUUCCAGGCCUUCUUGCCAGCGCCCUUGGGGAAAGAGUGGCCGGGCUGCUGGCCAAGGAGGCUGGAGGCUGGGGGCUGGCCAUUUAUGAAGACUGCGGCGUGUGCAUUAGGAGCCUGAAGUAGGGUAUCGAGGGUGCUCUGUCCCUGGGUCUGGGAAUUUUGCCUGGCUGGUGGAGCCUGAAGGAUGCCAGUGUCCCUGCCUUCCCUGCUGCCUGGGUGGUGGGAGUUACACACUCUACGAGCCCCAGCUCUGGCCUCCGGGUCUCCCCUGCCUCCCCUGUGUCGGUACAAUCUUUGCUCUGCACAAUCGGCCACUUUACACAAUAAAACAUCCCUCCCUGUGCUGUUGUAAAAAAAAAAAAAAAAA
RNAcentral lists this long non-coding RNA (660 nucleotides) under Rattus norvegicus (Norway rat). RNAcentral's name for it is "long non-coding RNA NONRATT014292". Lineage: Eukaryota; Metazoa; Chordata; Mammalia; Rodentia; Muridae. The record is from RNAcentral.